GAAAAGGUUUUGCUCCCCAAGUAAUGCAUGCUUCAAAAGAGAGGUUUUCUUGGAAAACUUUCUCAGUACAGACAGUAGACAGUAGGGUCGAUUUGAAGUGAACAGCUGGCAUGGUCUACUCUUUCACAUACCUCCACUAAUCUCACAUUUGUCCAGGCAGCAGCUCCUUUCAUCCUAGGCUUUGCAUCGAUGAUAGAGCUUUAUAAAAUCCCUUCUCUGCCAUGGAACAGUCUAAGACUGCAGCAGACUGUGACUAGAAAAGGGAAUGUAUGCAGUCUGCACAAGGAGACAGAAGGGGAGGGACAGCUACGCUUAGCCGUGACAAAUUAUCUGCUCCCACAAUCUCUAGCCAUAAGAGGUUGAAAGACUGUUUAUCACAACCACAGCUACAUUUUCCAUUAUCCCAAAAUAAGAUUCCUUCAGAAUUCCUUAUAUGGACUCAAAGAGACUCCAGAUGUAGUAGCUGAGGCAAUCAAAACCUCCUGUGUCUUGGAGAAUACUCAAAAAUGGCCCAGAACUUUUUUGUCCUUGUUGUUGCAUUUUGCAUAAUUUUCUGCUCUUUAGAUAGAGUAAAUACUCUGCAGUUUCUACUAGGGGAGCUAUGUGUAUUAUAUAAUCAAAAUGUAGUUUAGGUUCAUUUACAACAUAAGUGAAAUUACAAGUUUAUGUCUUUGAUAUUACAAGUUUUUGAGUCCUUUUUCAAUGCAGACAUAAAAAUUUCUUGUAGACCAAUACAGGCAAUGAAAAGACAAAAUGAUAAAAUAAUAUGCUGCAACUGUAACCAGUCUGGGAUAUCAGAAUAUUCUCUCUCUCUCUCUCUGUUUUAAACACACACACACACACACAAAUAGAUUCAUUUAAUACAUUUAACUUUAUAUUUUUAUGGGUGACUUAAAGGUGGCAAGAAGAUGUAGACCAUGUCACUAUAAACACGAGUAUGAAUAGGACAAAUCAAUGUAAAGUUUUCUGUUUUGUUUCACAUUCUUGACUUGUGGUACUUUUGAUUAUGUAGCGUUGCUUGCUUGAUGUUGGUUGUAAUAUAUAACCAGCCUGGGUAAACUGUGACUACUCUCGACAUGUGUUACCUGCACAGAAAAUGAGUGUGAAUGUGUCCUUAGGCCCAAGGUGCAGUGCUGCAUCUCUGGUCAGUUGGGAGUCUGAGAUGAAGCACUGUAGCACGGGAAGAGGAAUACUGCUACUGUAAACACACAUCAGCAUUUGUAAUUACUUUAUAGUAGCCAGACAAAAUGUAAAAUUAAAUUCUAUUAUAAAAUGUAGACUGCAAAAUGUAAGUAAAUAAAUUUUCAAAAAGAUUUUAAAAGGUCGCUAUGCAGUAUGGAGAGGCAGUAGAAGCUUACUAUUUAAGGAUCUAAGCUACUAAUCUGCAAAUUCAGAGUUCAAAUCCCAGCCUCGCCUGUUGUUAUUCCAUAAUUAAUUUUUAAUAAAAAAAAAAAUACAAACAUUUUAUAGCUAUUGUAUACUUAUUGGUGGAUUUUUUUUCUCUACUGCACACUUCCCUGUCCCCGGGGUCCAGUUUUCCCAGGAAUCCCUUGGGAAAUUAUAAAGGGGAUUCCUGGAAAUACUGUUCUUGGGGGUGGGGUUAGACAUCAUGCGUGUCAGUUAAGUUAAAUCAUAUAUUUUACUGACUUAAAAAAAGAGAACAAUAAGGUUAAAUGACCCAAAAUUUAAAUAUAUGUUUUCAUAUGUUCUUAUUGUACCCAACAAAGUAUUUAAUAAAACAAGUAAUUAUAAAAUGUAAUUAUUUUUUAUUUUAUAAUAAUAAUAAUAAACAUAUAGUAUUAUGUAUCUCUGAAAUUGAUGUCCAACCUGUCAUUUUGGGGAAACUGCCCCCUUUGUAAAAAUUACAAUGUAAUCAUCAAUGUCAACAUCAUGACCAUCCUUUUGUGUUUUUUCUUAGAUGGAGGUUGAAACAACUGCUGAAAGUACAUUUACACUUAUAUUUCCUAAUUUGUAACAUAUCAUGCUUGUAGUUUAAUGUUAUCAAGGUUAACAUGUCCACCCUAUCAUAGUAAAUAUUGAAAAAUAUAAAAACUUUUUAGAAAUUCCAAACAGAUUUAAUAAACAGCACACAGUCACCUUCAAAAGUUUAUCAUUUCGAUAACUGAGGGUCACCACUAGCUUUACACAUUGAUGACAUGGUGGACAUGUGCAUUUCUAUUGGUUUGAUUAUUAUUAUUAUUAUUAUUAUUAUUUUUAACAGAUAUUUAUUAAGAACAGGACAAUAUAUAUGUCUGAAAAAGCACAUUUUAUAAUCACUAGGCUAUGAAAAUGUAUUUAAACUAUUUCUAAUUUAUCUAUGACAGUGUGGACAUAUUUUGCAAAUUGCUUGUCAAUUGUUAUUAUGCAGUUAAUUUAUAAAAAAAAAAGUGCUGGAGCUUACAACAUACAUUUCUAACAGCUACAGCUGAGUUCAUAAUGUAAAUAUGAAGUUACAGUGAAUGGAACGUCUUAGUUUUUAGUCAAUGCAUAAAGACCUUUUAUAGUGAUAUUGAUUCAAAUAGUAAUCGUCUAUGCACAUUGGCAUAAUUAGUAAACCCAAGAGUAAGUAGGCAUUGAAGCCAAAAAAAAAAUGUUAUGCAGGGAGCACUAUGUUGUACAAUGCCUUGCAAAAGUAUUCAUAUCCCUUGAAGUUUUGUCACGUUAACCUGAGAGCAUUAAUCAGAGGAGCCAAGAGGCCCAUGGUAACUCUGGAGGAGCUUUAGAGAUCCACAGCUCAGGUGUCCACAGGAUAACUAUUAGUUGUGUACUCCACAAAUCUGGCCUGUUUAAUAGAAGAGUGGCCAUUGUUGAUUGAAAGUCAUAAGAAGUCCCAUCUGCAGUUCCACAUGGCUUCUCGCAAAUUGCAAACAGAAUUCUUAUGGCUUUCUUUCAACAGUAAAAAGUCAGAGGGUUAUGAUUACUUUUGCAGGGCACUGUAUAUAGCAGAAGAGCCCCCAAUCCAUAUUCCUAUGGCAAAAUAGAGAAGUGCUAAAAGUCUAAUGGCUCUUUAUAUUUGUUAAAUAAAUAAUUGGAUAUUUUGCCUAAAAUAUUUUAAAAAUCAGCGUCAGUAAAAAAAAAAUUGAAAUCAAAGGAAAAGAACAUGCAUGCAAUACUAAGUAACCCCUUACUUCUUCCACAGGAUGUAAGAGUCUAAGUUAAAGCCAGGAGCUGCUAUUCAUAAGGUGUGCAGAUGAGGAGACGUUUUGGCAGUUUGUUCGUCUGGAGCUUUUAAGUGUGUGUUAGCACAAUGUCAAAAGGGAAAGACAUAAGCAAUGCUCUUAGAGAGGCAAUUGUUGCUGCACAUCAAUCUGGAAAGAGUUAUGAAAAAAUUUGGAGUUCAACAUUCUAAAGUGAAAACAAUUAUCCACAAGUGGAAAUCAUCCAAGACGGUCUUCCCAGGACUGGACAGCACAAUCACCCCAAGGCCAGACCAUAAAAAGCUAAGAAAAAUACUAAAAAAGGGAAAGGUACAUUUCAGAUCCAGGCUACACUAAAUAUGUUAAAAGGUCAUGGCAGCACAAUUAAAACAAGUACAUUUUGUUUAGAAGGGUAGCCAGUAGAAAUCCUUUUCGUAUAAAGAAGAACAUAGAAGCAUGCCUGGAAGUUUUACACACACAAAAAAAAAAAUAAUUAAAAGAGGGCCUCAUUUUUGAACAUGAUUCUAUUCUAUUAUAUUCUAUUUACAGGUGCAGCUGCCACAAAACCUUUUUGACAGCAACUCAAGAUGAAAUAUACCAAAAAUAUAUUGCAACUGUUUAAUUUUCCCAAACUUAAUUAAGCAUUAUUUAUUUGCUACUUUCAAUAUAUUUUUCAGUUGUUAUGGUAUUUUUAAAGUAAUAUCUAAGUUCUUUAUACUGUAUAUAAGGUUUAAAACAUGGUGAGCGUCCACCACUAACAUGACUCUACCGAGAUUACCCUUGUGGGCAUCUUGUUGCUGAGAACAUCUUUAUCAGAAAGCUUAUCUGACCCAACCAUCCCCAAGAGACAAGGGCCUACAUAAGAAGUUUGUUAUUUGUAAUUAAUGAUAUAUGACAUUUAUUCUGUUUUGUUGUCACCUCCAUGAGACAACUCAUUCAUCUUCGAUACAACCUGGCACACUGAUUCUACAAUUUUGUAUUAGUGUCAUGACCCAUUCCUGCUCAUCUCAAGCCAUGUUAUUCAUUGCCACAUUGUUUUUUUUAUUAUUUUUUUCUUUUUUCACUAUUCCUGUGCCAUCUUUGUACAACAAUUAACAAUAAACCUUUAAAAUAAUUA
Clarias gariepinus (North African catfish) is the source of this 4254-nucleotide long non-coding RNA. RefSeq lists it as uncharacterized. NCBI's taxonomy places the organism in Eukaryota, Metazoa, Chordata, Actinopteri, Siluriformes, Clariidae. The record is from RefSeq and is a predicted model, not a curated record. The transcript has 2 exons.